AUGCUGAUCAACCUAGCUCAGUUACCGUUUGGCGUAUCAAUUGGUGGAGCUGGCGCACCGGCUCUGGCUCCAGCUGCGAUGCCAUCUUGGAUCGAACUGUUGAAUAAGUGGGAGAUCCAAAGUAUUGUUGUCAUCAGCUUCAGUCUGCAGGUUAUCCUCUUCUUCCUCGCAGAUAUACGCCACUACAGCGUCUCGUCUGUUCUCAAGGUGCUCCUCUGGCUGGUAUACCUGCUCGCCGAUCUUGUUGCAAUGUAUGGCCUGGGGCACAUGUCCUCGUCGCUAUCGAAUAAAUCGUCCGAGGAGCACAAGCUGGUGCUGUACUGGGCGCCGUUCCUCCUGCUGCACCUUGGUCGCCAGCACACCAUCACCGCGUACGUCUUGGAGGACAAUAAACUCUGGCUACGCCACCUGCUAAACAUGUUUGUGCAGGUUGCUGCCACCGCAUAUGUGCUCUACAAGUACAUGAAAGCAGGCGGGGUGCCCAAGUAUGAACUAUGA
Molecule: ribosomal RNA, 498 nt
Filed under: Triticum aestivum (bread wheat)
Lineage: Eukaryota; Viridiplantae; Streptophyta; Magnoliopsida; Poales; Poaceae
Description: partial small subunit ribosomal RNA
Source: RNAcentral